This 403-nucleotide ribosomal RNA is filed under the name uncultured bacterium. RNAcentral's name for it is "bacterial SSU rRNA". It matches the Rfam family "Bacterial small subunit ribosomal RNA", at positions 354 to 774 of the family's 1533-position model. The record is from RNAcentral.
GUCGGGAAUUUUGGGCAAUGGGCGAAAGCCUGACCCAGCAACGCCGCGUGAGGGAUGAAGUAUUUCGGUAUGUAAACCUCGAAAGAAUGGGAAGAAUAAAUGACGGUACCAUUUAUAAGCUCCGGCUAACUACGUGCCAGCAGCCGCGGUAAUACGUAGGGAGCAAGCGUUGUUCGGACUUACUGGGCGUAAAGGGCGCGUAGGCGGCGCGGUAAGUCACUUGUGAAAUCUCUGAGCUUAACUCAGAACGGCCAAGUGAUACUGCUGUGCUAGAGUGCGGAAGAGGCAACCGGAAUUCUUGGUGUAGCGGUGAAAUGCGUAGAUAUCAAGAGGAACACCUGAGGCGAAGGCGGGUUGCUGGGCCGACACUGACGCUGAUGCGCGAAAGCCAGGGGAGCAAACG